This 260-nucleotide ribosomal RNA is filed under the name uncultured bacterium. RNAcentral describes it as "partial 16S ribosomal RNA". It matches the Rfam family "Bacterial small subunit ribosomal RNA", at positions 793 to 1055 of the family's 1533-position model. The record is from RNAcentral.
GUCCACGCCUUAAACGAUGAGAGCUAGUUGUCAGUAAGCAUGCUUAUUGGUGACGCUGCUAACGCAUUAAGCUCUCCGCCUGGGGAGUACGGCCGCAAGGUUAAAACUCAAAGAAAUUGACGGGGGCCCGCACAAGCGGUGGAGCAUGUGGUUUAAUUCGAAGCAACGCGCAGAACCUUACCCACCUUUGACAUCCCGUGCUACCUAGAGAGAUCUAGGGUCCCUUCGGGGCGCGGAGACAGGUGCUGCAUGGCUGUCGU